RNAcentral lists this ribosomal RNA (1228 nucleotides) under uncultured bacterium. RNAcentral's name for it is "bacterial SSU rRNA". It matches the Rfam family "Bacterial small subunit ribosomal RNA", at positions 169 to 1398 of the family's 1533-position model. The record is from RNAcentral.
CCGCAUGAAGCAGGGAUCCCGCAUGGGAAUAUUUGCUAAAGAUUCAUCGCUGAUAGAUAGGCAUGCGUUCCAUUAGGCAGUUGGCGGGGUAACGGCCCACCAAACCGACGAUGGAUAGGGGUUCUGAGAGGAAGGUCCCCCACAUUGGUACUGAGACACGGACCAAACUCCUACGGGAGGCAGCAGUGAGGAAUAUUGGUCAAUGGCCGAGAGGCUGAACCAGCCAAGUCGCGUGAGGGAUGAAGGUUCUAUGGAUCGUAAACCUCUUUUAUAAGGGAAUAAAGUGCGGGACGUGUCCCGUUUUGUAUGUACCUUAUGAAUAAGGAUCGGCUAACUCCGUGCCAGCAGCCGCGGUAAUACGGAGGAUCCGAGCGUUAUCCGGAUUUAUUGGGUUUAAAGGGUGCGUAGGCGGCCUUUUAAGUCAGCGGUGAAAGUCUGUGGCUCAACCAUAGAAUUGCCGUUGAAACUGGGGGGCUUGAGUAUGUUUGAGGCAGGCGGAAUGCGUGGUGUAGCGGUGAAAUGCAUAGAUAUCACGCAGAACCCCGAUUGCGAAGGCAGCCUGCCAAGCCAUUACUGACGCUGAUGCACGAAAGCGUGGGGAUCAAACAGGAUUAGAUACCCUGGUAGUCCACGCAGUAAACGAUGAUCACUAGCUGUUUGCGAUACACUGUAAGCGGCACAGCGAAAGCGUUAAGUGAUCCACCUGGGGAGUACGCCGGCAACGGUGAAACUCAAAGGAAUUGACGGGGGCCCGCACAAGCGGAGGAACAUGUGGUUUAAUUCGAUGAUACGCGAGGAACCUUACCCGGGUUUGAACGCAUUCGGACCGAGGUGGAAACACCUUUUCUAGCAAUAGCCGUUUGCGAGGUGCUGCAUGGUUGUCGUCAGCUCGUGCCGUGAGGUGUCGGCUUAAGUGCCAUAACGAGCGCAACCCUUGCCACUAGUUACUAACAGGUAAAGCUGAGGACUCUGGUGGGACUGCCAGCGUAAGCUGCGAGGAAGGCGGGGAUGACGUCAAAUCAGCACGGCCCUUACAUCCGGGGCGACACACGUGUUACAAUGGCGUGGACAAAGGGAGGCCACCUGGCGACAGGGAGCGAAUCCCCAAACCACGUCUCAGUUCGGAUCGGAGUCUGCAACCCGACUCCGUGAAGCUGGAUUCGCUAGUAAUCGCGCAUCAGCCAUGGCGCGGUGAAUACGUUCCCGGGCCUUGCACAAGGCGCCCGUC